This 459-nucleotide ribosomal RNA is filed under the name uncultured bacterium. RNAcentral's name for it is "partial 16S ribosomal RNA". It matches the Rfam family "Bacterial small subunit ribosomal RNA", at positions 338 to 795 of the family's 1533-position model. The record is from RNAcentral.
CCUACGGGCGGCAGCAGUGAGGAAUAUUGGUCAAUGGUCGGGAGACUGAACCAGCCAAGCCGCGUGAGGGAGGAAGGUACAGAGUAUCGUAAACCUCUUUUGUCAGGGAACAAAGGCGGGGACGUGUCCCCGGAUGAGUGUACCUGAAGAAAAAGCAUCGGCUAACUCCGUGCCAGCAGCCGCGGUAAUACGGAGGAUGCGAGCGUUAUCCGGAUUUAUGGGGGUUAAAGGGUGCGCAGGCGGUCUGUUAAGUCAGCGGUCAAAGCCCGGGGCUCAACCCCGGCCCGCCGUUGAAACUGGCAGUCUCGAGUUGGAGAGAAGUAUGCGGAAUGCGCGGUGUAGCGGUGAAAUGCAUAGAUAUCGCGCAGAACUCCGAUUGCGAAGGCAGCAUGCCGGCUCCACACUGACGCUGAGGCACGAAAGCGUGGGUAUCGAACAGGAUUAGAUACCCGUGUAGUC